Non-coding RNA from Podarcis lilfordi (Lilford's wall lizard), 95 nucleotides. NCBI's taxonomy places the organism in Eukaryota, Metazoa, Chordata, Lepidosauria, Squamata, Lacertidae. The record is from the annotation of a GenBank genome assembly.
AACGCUUCUCGGCCUUUUGGCUAAGAUCAAGUGUAGUGUGUGUAAUCUAUCUCUUCCUAGUCUCUCACCAUUUUUUCUUUCCUUAUCCACCUCCC